This is a long non-coding RNA of Manis javanica (Malayan pangolin), 2552 nucleotides long. RefSeq lists it as uncharacterized. NCBI's taxonomy places the organism in Eukaryota, Metazoa, Chordata, Mammalia, Pholidota, Manidae. The record is from RefSeq and is a predicted model, not a curated record.
CUGCUGAGGAGAGGUCAGCGUUUGUUUAAGCCACCAGCUUCCCUCGGGGCCGCAGCCUCGUACAAGCUCUCGCACGUUCCACAGACGACGCAGGCGCUCGGUAUUCCAGGCGCUCUCGCGCAGCCCGACCGGCGCGGCCGCCCCACCCAGCCCCCACCCGGAGGCGCGACUGCCGAGGUGCAUUCUGGGUACGAGGGUCGGAAGCACGGCAGGCGGACGGCUGGUCAGGUGGGCAGACGGGGCGGCGGGAAGGGCCGCGGGCCCCGCUGGGGAGCUGAAGACGGACGGAACCCAGGAUGAGUUCCUCAGCUUUCCGACGCAGGCGCCCAAACUAAAAACUGCGUAUCAGGGGAACAGAGCCUUCCCAGGUCGGCUCCCAAAGCCGCUCGACCACGCAGCCUUGCCCUCGCCGGAUGAGCCCCGUAAUUUGCACCACCUGUGAAUUAUUCUAGUAGAGGAGUCGGAGAAGUUUGGGACAGGAGCUCAAUGCAAGGGACUCCACGUUAUCCUCUAGAAACACCCCAUGACCUGGAACACAACUGAGCCAACUUGGGCAAAACUGAUAGGGGUGCAAAUUCAACACUGCUUAUUAUAUCUGAGUGAACUUAUUUUUUGUUACCAUGCAAUCAAAGUGCAAGAUGGUGUUUUUCUCAGUUUUCUGAAAGGAGUUGCAGCAAAGCCCUUAUGAAGCCUUUACUCCUCCAUGUAUUUAGAGUUGGCAGGAUCAGAGGGAGGAGAAUGGAAUGAAAACUUCAUAGUCCAAAGCCAACUUUGUGGAUCAGAUGCUGUGGGCUGAAUCUUGGAGGAGGACAAGUCUAAGCUCUGUGUUCCUGCGAGGCCUCCCCAGCUAACUCACCUGUAAAUCCACGUGUGGAAGGAAGACAGAUAAAUAGCUGGAUUUGGUGUCGCACUGAUUCCUGGGAAGGAAGGACAGCUGUCAACACUGUGGACCAUUAGGUAUUGGUUGCCAGUUGGGAAGGUCAUCAGAAAACUUAAGACAGUCACUGGUAAGAAGAAUAAUGAUAAUGAAGAUAAAGCACAAAAACACUUGGGGGUAUCUCGAUCCAACCCAGGGCAGGAAGGCUGUUCAUCAGUAUGGCUGGUGAUAUGACGAGUGCUGGAAGUAGCACCAGAUACUCCUGAUGGAUUUUGGCUCUGCUAACACUAGGAGACGGGCUCUUCCAGAUUCUAAACUUCUGACCAUUGCAAAUGACUAGUCAGCUUAGAAAUGGGGUUACAGUGUUUGACUCACCAAAAAAAAAAAAAAGGAUACUUUGUCAUUGGUUUUUCUCUUCCUCUGUGUGAAAUCAGACUUCCUUACCAUAUUUUAUCACUUGUUCUUAUUACUUGCACUAACCAUGAGGAGGUCAAACUCUUAUGCACACGACCACACAGGAAGAAGAGAACCCUGGUGGACACCCGGUGCUGUAGCCUAAACCCGGCACCUACAACACUGUGAGGGGAAGAAACAUGGCAGUGGGGCUCACUGUUGCUCCCAUGGUGUGCAGACCUGUCCAUGGGCAGAAAAUAGGGAACCCAAACAUUUGUGUUUGCUGCGGAGGAAAUGGCUCAUAGUCUUUCAUCGUGUGGCGGCAGGCAGAGAGCUGCAGUCACCUCUUCAUGGGGGAAAGCGGGAGGGAGGCCACGGGCAUCCCUCAGCCUCGUGCUUUCCCUAUGAGGAAGGUCAGAUGGACUAUUUUUUAAUCAUUUAUGGGUUUAUUUUGUGUCUACAAAACACAGUCAUUCAUCAUUUAAGUAUCAGACAUCAUUAGAACACAUUUUAACACUUUUUCUUUCUUACUUUUACGAUACAGUAAUUUGCUUAAAAAAAAAAACAAAACUAUGAACCAAUGUUCUGGUUUCCUCUCACUCAACUAAUGUGCACCUCAGGGAUGGCAGUUUGUAAGUCGGUAACAUGGCAGGCAGCAGACUGAGGUUCAGAGGACCUCCCACUUAAGAGUGCUAACAAGCUACAGAGCCUGCUCUCUCUAUCCCUUCUCCUGUCCCUAUCCUAUUAUAUGUACAACUUUUUAUAGAUUAGGAAAUGUGUGGGGGCUUAGAGAAGUUGUCACUUGCCUCAGCUCACAGAGCUGGCAAAUGUUAGAGUCCAGAUUCAAAUCCCAGGCCUGACUUCAUAACCUUACCCUUAAUCUUUGUUAUAUUAGUUCCACAGAAAAUUAGCAUUCAUUUAGCCUCCUCUGGUCCAAUCUUCUAUAGCAUCCGCACACGCCCUUGGCAGCACACUCAGCACAGGGCCAUCUCUGACUGUAACCCCCCGUGAGCGAGCAGCACCGGGCAGUGUGGCCCUUCCUCCGCCGGACGCCUGCCCCACCAGAGCACACACAGUCUUCACAACCGCCUGUGCCCAGGAGACAAAGCUAUCGUCUGAACAGGCCUCCUCUUCUGAACAGUCAGUUAUGCUUUAAAGUGCAGAUGGGAAAUUAUGUUGUUAUGUACAAAACAAAUAUACUGUGGAUUAUAUGCAACAUUGUCAUUUAGUUUUAAGGGAAAACAUGAGACCUGUAGAAGUUAGCCCUUGCUCUGAGCAACUA